CGAACGCUCCCCUUCGGGGGGGAGUGGCGCACGGGUGAGUAACGCGUGGGGACCUGCCCAAGGGUACGGAAUAACGCCGGGAAACUGGCGCUAAUACCGUAUACGCCUUACGAGGGAAAGAUUUAUCGCCCUUGGAUGGCCCCGCGUCCGAUUAGCUAGUUGGUGAGGUAACGGCUCACCAAGGCUACGAUCGGUAGCUGGUCUGAGAGGACGAUCAGCCACACUGGGACUGAGACACGGCCCAGACUCC
This 250-nucleotide ribosomal RNA is filed under the name uncultured bacterium. Its description in RNAcentral is "partial 16S ribosomal RNA". It matches the Rfam family "Bacterial small subunit ribosomal RNA", at positions 63 to 339 of the family's 1533-position model. The record is from RNAcentral.